RNAcentral lists this ribosomal RNA (253 nucleotides) under uncultured bacterium. RNAcentral describes it as "partial 16S ribosomal RNA". It matches the Rfam family "Bacterial small subunit ribosomal RNA", at positions 524 to 776 of the family's 1533-position model. The record is from RNAcentral.
UACAGAGGUCUCAAGCGUUGUUCGGAUUCAUUGGGCGUAAAGGGUGCGUAGGCGGCGCGGUAAGUCGGGUGUGAAAUCUCGGGGCUUAACUUCGAAACUGCAUUCGAUACUGCCGUGCUUGAGGACUGGAGAGGAGACUGGAAUUUACGGUGUAGCGGUGAAAUGCGUAGAUAUCGUAAGGAAGACCAGUGGCGAAGGCGGGUCUCUGGACAGUUCCUGACGCUGAGGCACGAAGGUCAGGGGAGCAAACGGG